UACGUAGGCAGCGAGCGUUGUUCGGAAUUACUGGGCGUAAAGAGUGUGUAGGCGGUGCUCUAAGUUCGGUGUGAAAUCUCCUGGCUCAACUGGGAGGGUGCGCCGGAAACUGGAGUGCUUGAGCGUGGGAGAGGAAAGCGGAAUUCCUGGUGUAGCGGUGAAAUGCGUAGAUAUCAGGAGGAACACCGGUGGCGAAGGCGGGUCUCUGGGCAAUAACUGACGCUGAGGAGCGAAAGCGUGGGGAGCGAACAGG
This 253-nucleotide ribosomal RNA is filed under the name uncultured bacterium. RNAcentral's name for it is "partial 16S ribosomal RNA". It matches the Rfam family "Bacterial small subunit ribosomal RNA", at positions 524 to 776 of the family's 1533-position model. The record is from RNAcentral.